This 62-nucleotide non-coding RNA is filed under the name Streptomyces vietnamensis. The record is from RNAcentral. Lineage: Bacteria; Bacillati; Actinomycetota; Actinomycetes; Kitasatosporales; Streptomycetaceae.
UGCUAGCCUGGAGACACCCCGACGAGACGCGCCGUACCGGGUUGACGACAAGACGACGCACC